CCGCCCCCAAAGGAAAUUCCGAUUCAUACGAUCAAUCAAAUACAAGCUGGGAGCUUGCAUGGAAUGGGUAUAGUGAUGGAUUUGAUGAGGGUGAGUCUACCAUAGGCGAUAGAAGGUUAGCUUUCUUACCAGAUUUUUCAACAAUAAAAAGUGUACUUGUCUAUUUGUGACUCUCAUGAUUUACGGCGUUUUCUUCCAGAAAUAAUACUCUCCCUUUAAUCUAAGAAAAUUAACCACGAAAUCAAUCAUUAAUGGAAUACAACAACUAGCAUUAACAAUAAAAAAUCAUAGUAACAUAGCAAGAGGAUCAAGUCAUCCAG
Molecule: long non-coding RNA, 320 nt
Filed under: Gossypium barbadense (sea-island cotton)
Lineage: Eukaryota; Viridiplantae; Streptophyta; Magnoliopsida; Malvales; Malvaceae
Description: long non-coding RNA (GBAR_LNC021938)
Source: RNAcentral